Molecule: ribosomal RNA, 669 nt
Filed under: uncultured archaeon
Lineage: Archaea
Description: bacterial SSU rRNA
Rfam family: Archaeal small subunit ribosomal RNA
Source: RNAcentral
GAUUCCCUAUGGGGCGCAGCAGGCGCGCAAACUUUACAAUGCGAGCAAUCGUGAUAAGGAAACCCUGAGUGCCUGUCGAUGCAGGCUGUUCAUAUAUCUAAAUCAUAUGUGAAGAAAGGGCAGGGCAAGACCGGUGCCAGCCGCCGCGGUAAUACCGGCUGCUCGAGUGAUGGCCACUAUUACUGGGUUUAAAGCGUCCGUGGCUUGACUGUUAGGUCUCUUGGGAAAUCUUCACGCUCAACGUGAAGGCGUCUAAGAGAUACCGGCAGUCUUGGAACUGGGAGAGGUAAACCGUACUUCGGGGGUAGGAGUGAAAUCUUGUAAUCCUCGAGGGACGACCUAUGGCGAAGGCAGUUUACCAGAACAGCUUCGACAGUGAGGGACGAAAGCUGGGGGAGCAAACGGGAUUAGAUACCCCGGUAGUCCCAGCCGUAAACAAUGUGCGUUAGGUGUGUCGGUAACCACGUGUUACUGAUGCGCCGAAGAGAAAUCGUGAAACGCACCACCUGGGAAGUACGGUCGCAAGGCUGAAACUUAAAGGAAUUGGCGGGGGAGCACCACAACAGGUGGAGCCUGCGGUUUAAUUGGAUUCAACGCCGGACAUCUCACCGGAUAAGACAGCUGAAUGAUUGUCAAUCUGAAGGUUUUACAUGACUAGCUGAGAGGAGG